This 2075-nucleotide ribosomal RNA is filed under the name Staphylococcus aureus. RNAcentral's name for it is "partial 23S ribosomal RNA". It matches the Rfam family "Bacterial large subunit ribosomal RNA", at positions 727 to 2802 of the family's 2925-position model. Lineage: Bacteria; Bacillati; Bacillota; Bacilli; Caryophanales; Staphylococcaceae. The record is from RNAcentral.
GAUCUACCCUUGGUCAGGUUGAAGUUCAGGUAACACUGAAUGGAGGACCGAACCGACUUACGUUGAAAAGUGAGCGGAUGAACUGAGGGUAGCGGAGAAAUUCCAAUCGAACCUGGAGAUAGCUGGUUCUCUCCGAAAUAGCUUUAGGGCUAGCCUCAAGUGAUGAUUAUUGGAGGUAGAGCACUGUUUGGACGAGGGGCCCCUCUCGGGUUACCGAAUUCAGACAAACUCCGAAUGCCAAUUAAUUUAACUUGGGAGUCAGAACAUGGGUGAUAAGGUCCGUGUUCGAAAGGGAAACAGCCCAGACCACCAGCUAAGGUCCCAAAAUAUAUGUUAAGUGGAAAAGGAUGUGGCGUUGCCCAGACAACUAGGAUGUUGGCUUAGAAGCAGCCAUCAUUUAAAGAGUGCGUAAUAGCUCACUAGUCGAGUGACACUGCGCCGAAAAUGUACCGGGGCUAAACAUAUUACCGAAGCUGUGGAUUGUCCUUUGGACAAUGGUAGGAGAGCGUUCUAAGGGCGUUGAAGCAUGAUCGUAAGGACAUGUGGAGCGCUUAGAAGUGAGAAUGCCGGUGUGAGUAGCGAAAGACGGGUGAGAAUCCCGUCCACCGAUUGACUAAGGUUUCCAGAGGAAGGCUCGUCCGCUCUGGGUUAGUCGGGUCCUAAGCUGAGGCCGACAGGCGUAGGCGAUGGAUAACAGGUUGAUAUUCCUGUACCACCUAUAAUCGUUUUAAUCGAUGGGGGGACGCAGUAGGAUAGGCGAAGCGUGCGAUUGGAUUGCACGUCUAAGCAGUAAGGCUGAGUAUUAGGCAAAUCCGGUACUCGUUAAGGCUGAGCUGUGAUGGGGAGAAGACAUUGUGUCUUCGAGUCGUUGAUUUCACACUGCCGAGAAAAGCCUCUAGAUAGAAAAUAGGUGCCCGUACCGCAAACCGACACAGGUAGUCAAGAUGAGAAUUCUAAGGUGAGCGAGCGAACUCUCGUUAAGGAACUCGGCAAAAUGACCCCGUAACUUCGGGAGAAGGGGUGCUCUUUAGGGUUAACGCCCAGAAGAGCCGCAGUGAAUAGGCCCAAGCGACUGUUUAUCAAAAACACAGGUCUCUGCUAAACCGUAAGGUGAUGUAUAGGGGCUGACGCCUGCCCGGUGCUGGAAGGUUAAGAGGAGUGGUUAGCUUCUGCGAAGCUACGAAUCGAAGCCCCAGUAAACGGCGGCCGUAACUAUAACGGUCCUAAGGUAGCGAAAUUCCUUGUCGGGUAAGUUCCGACCCGCACGAAAGGCGUAACGAUUUGGGCACUGUCUCAACGAGAGACUCGGUGAAAUCAUAGUACCUGUGAAGAUGCAGGUUACCCGCGACAGGACGGAAAGACCCCGUGGAGCUUUACUGUAGCCUGAUAUUGAAAUUCGGCACAGCUUGUACAGGAUAGGUAGGAGCCUUUGAAACGUGAGCGCUAGCUUACGUGGAGGCGCUGGUGGGAUACUACCCUAGCUGUGUUGGCUUUCUAACCCGCACCACUUAUCGUGGUGGGAGACAGUGUCAGGCGGGCAGUUUGACUGGGGCGGUCGCCUCCUAAAAGGUAACGGAGGCGCUCAAAGGUUCCCUCAGAAUGGUUGGAAAUCAUUCAUAGAGUGUAAAGGCAUAAGGGAGCUUGACUGCGAGACCUACAAGUCGAGCAGGGUCGAAAGACGGACUUAGUGAUCCGGUGGUUCCGCAUGGAAGGGCCAUCGCUCAACGGAUAAAAGCUACCCCGGGGAUAACAGGCUUAUCUCCCCCAAGAGUUCACAUCGACGGGGAGGUUUGGCACCUCGAUGUCGGCUCAUCGCAUCCUGGGGCUGUAGUCGGUCCCAAGGGUUGGGCUGUUCGCCCAUUAAAGCGGUACGCGAGCUGGGUUCAGAACGUCGUGAGACAGUUCGGUCCCUAUCCGUCGUGGGCGUAGGAAAUUUGAGAGGAGCUGUCCUUAGUACGAGAGGACCGGGAUGGACAUACCUCUGGUGUACCAGUUGUCGUGCCAACGGCAUAGCUGGGUAGCUAUGUGUGGACGGGAUAAGUGCUGAAAGCAUCUAAGCAUGAAGCCCCCCUCAA